Long non-coding RNA from Folsomia candida, 464 nucleotides. RefSeq lists it as uncharacterized. The transcript is spliced from 3 exons. The record is from RefSeq and is a predicted model, not a curated record. Lineage: Eukaryota; Metazoa; Arthropoda; Collembola; Entomobryomorpha; Isotomidae.
UGUACGUUUUGCAGUUUUUUUUGCAUGCACCGCAUACAAGAACUUGUGCAAUCUGCUGGUAAAAGCUAAAUAUUAAUAGCAUAUUCAUAAUUUUAAUUAGAGGCAAAAAAGGAGGCUGAAUUUUACGAAAAGUUUAAAGUGCUCGACCACUGUUACUACUCAAACAUUGAAAAGAAAUGUGCCUCGCCAAAGGGUUUACAGCUGAACAACGAGCAGAUGCGGGAGAUGAAGAAAAGUUUGCCAAUGUCGAACUGCCCCCGUAUUCCGGGCGUUUUUAGCAUUGUGCAGCUUUCUCAAUGUUGCCAGAACGAAACUCUGCCAUGGCACGUGAACGAACUGGUUGGAUUUCAGCUAAUCCCACUUCAAUCCCACUUCACUCACUGCUUGCGAUCUGUCAAGGAUUUCGUGAAUGCUUCAGCCACUGGGGCACAAUGUGUGGAAGCAUGUUCUUUUAAUCCGAUCGA